This 253-nucleotide ribosomal RNA is filed under the name uncultured bacterium. RNAcentral describes it as "partial 16S ribosomal RNA". It matches the Rfam family "Bacterial small subunit ribosomal RNA", at positions 524 to 776 of the family's 1533-position model. The record is from RNAcentral.
UACGUAUGGUGCAAGCGUUAUCCGGAUUUACUGGGUGUAAAGGGAGCGCAGGCGGCGCGUUAAGCCUGGUGUGAAAGCCCGCGGCCCAACCGCGGGACUGCAUUGGGAGCUGGCGCGCUGGAGUGCCGGAGGGGUAGGCGGAAUUCCUAGUGUAGCGGUGAAAUGCGUAGAUAUUAGGAGGAACACCAGUGGCGAAGGCGGCCUACUGGACGGUGACUGACGCUGAGGCUCGAAAGCGUGGGGAGCAAACAGG